GCUUAACACAUGCAAGUCGAGCGGUAAGGCCCUUCGGGGUACACGAGCGGCGAACGGGUGAGUAACACGUGGGUGAUCUGCCUCGCACUCUGGGAUAAGCCUGGGAAACUGGGUCUAAUACCGGAUAUGACCAGGGAAUGCAUGUUCUUUGGUGGAAAGGUUUACUGGUGCGAGAUGGGCCCGCGGCCUAUCAGCUUGUUGGUGGGGUAACGGCCUACCAAGGCGACGACGGGUAGCCGACCUGAGAGGGUGACCGGCCACACUGGGACUGAGACACGGCCCAGACUCCUACGGGAGGCAGCAGUGGGGAAUAUUGCACAAUGGGCGAAAGCCUGAUGCAGCGACGCCGCGUGGGGGAUGACGGCCUUCGGGUUGUAAACCCCUUUCGACAGGGACGAAGCGCAAGUGACGGUACCUGUAGAAGAAGCACCGGCCAACUACGUGCCAGCAGCCGCGGUAAUACGUAGGGUGCGAGCGUUGUCCGGAAUUACUGGGCGUAAAGAGCUUGUAGGCGGUUCGUCGCGUCGAUUGUGAAAACUUGGGGCUCAACUCCAAGCUUGCAGUCGAUACGGGCGAACUAGAGUACUUCAGGGGAGACUGGAAUUCCUGGUGUAGCGGUGAAAUGCGCAGAUAUCAGGAGGAACACCGGUGGCGAAGGCGGGUCUCUGGGAAGUAACUGACGCUGAGAAGCGAAAGCGUGGGUAGCGAACAGGAUUAGAUACCCUGGUAGUCCACGCCGUAAACGGUGGGUACUAGGUGUGGGUUUCCUUCCACGGGAUCCGUGCCGUAGCUAACGCAUUAAGUACCCCGCCUGGGGAGUACGGCCGCAAGGCUAAAAGGAAUUGACGGGGGCCCGCACAAGCGGCGGAGCAUGUGGAUUAAUUCGAUGCAACGCGAAGAACCUUACCUGGGUUUGACAUACACCGGAAAGCUGUAGAGAUAUGGCCCCCCUUGUGGUCGGUGUACAGGUGGUGCAUGGCUGUCGUCAGCUCGUGUCGUGAGAUGUUGGGUUAAGUCCCGCAACGAGCGCAACCCUUAUCUUAUGUUGCCAGCGCGUAAUGGCGGGGACUCGUGAGAGACUGCCGGGGUCAACUCGGAGGAAGGUGGGGACGACGUCAAGUCAUCAUGCCCCUUAUGUCCAGGGCUUCACACAUGCUACAAUGGCCGGUACAGAGGGCUGCGAUACCGCGAGGUGGAGCGAAUCCCUUAAAGCCGGUCUCAGUUCGGAUCGGGGUCUGCAACUCGACCCCGUGAAGUUGGAGUCGCUAGUAAUCGCAGAUCAGCAACGCUGCGGUGAAUACGUUCCCGGGCCUUGUACACACCG
RNAcentral lists this ribosomal RNA (1324 nucleotides) under Nocardia sp. OFN10.176. Its description in RNAcentral is "bacterial SSU rRNA". It matches the Rfam family "Bacterial small subunit ribosomal RNA", at positions 46 to 1392 of the family's 1533-position model. The record is from RNAcentral. Lineage: Bacteria; Bacillati; Actinomycetota; Actinomycetes; Mycobacteriales; Nocardiaceae.